CCUACGGGAGGCAGCAGUGAGGAAUAUUGGUCAAUGGCCGAGAGGCUGAACCAGCCAAGUCGCGUGAGGGAAGACGGCCCUACGGGUUGUAAACCUCUUUUGUCGGGGAGCAAAGCGAGUCACGUGUGACUCAUUGAGAGUACCCGAAGAAAAAGCAUCGGCUAACUCCGUGCCAGCAGCCGCGGUAAUACGGAGGAUGCGAGCGUUAUCCGGAUUUAUUGGGUUUAAAGGGUGCGUAGGCUGUGAGGUAAGUCAGCGGUGAAAUGCCCCCGCUCAACGGGGUGAAGUGCCAUUGAUACUGCCUUGCUGGAAUGCGGAUGCCGUGGGAGGAAUGUGUGGUGUAGCGGUGAAAUGCAUAGAUAUCACACAGAACACCGAUUGCGAAGGCAUCUCACGAAUCCGCGAUUGACGCUGAUGCACGAAAGCGUGGGUAUCAAACAGGAUUAGAUACCCUGUAGUC
This 460-nucleotide ribosomal RNA is filed under the name uncultured bacterium. Its description in RNAcentral is "partial 16S ribosomal RNA". It matches the Rfam family "Bacterial small subunit ribosomal RNA", at positions 338 to 795 of the family's 1533-position model. The record is from RNAcentral.